This 467-nucleotide ribosomal RNA is filed under the name Veillonella atypica. RNAcentral's name for it is "bacterial SSU rRNA". It matches the Rfam family "Bacterial small subunit ribosomal RNA", at positions 28 to 471 of the family's 1533-position model. Lineage: Bacteria; Bacillati; Bacillota; Negativicutes; Veillonellales; Veillonellaceae. The record is from RNAcentral.
GACGAACGCUGGCGGCGUGCUUAACACAUGCAAGUCGAACGAAGAGCGAUGGAAGCUUGCUUCUAUCAAUCUUAGUGGCGAACGGGUGAGUAACGCGUAAUCAACCUGCCCUUCAGAGGGGGACAACAGUUGGAAACGACUGCUAAUACCGCAUACGAUCCAAUCUCGGCAUCGAGACUGGAUGAAAGGUGGCCUCUAUUUAUAAGCUAUCACUGAAGGAGGGGAUUGCGUCUGAUUAGCUAGUUGGAGGGGUAACGGCCCACCAAGGCGAUGAUCAGUAGCCGGUCUGAGAGGAUGAACGGCCACAUUGGGACUGAGACACGGCCCAGACUCCUACGGGAGGCAGCAGUGGGGAAUCUUCCGCAAUGGACGAAAGUCUGACGGAGCAACGCCGCGUGAGUGAUGACGGCCUUCGGGUUGUAAAGCUCUGUUAAUCGGGACGAAGGUUCUUGUGCAAAUAGUGCGAG